This 429-nucleotide ribosomal RNA is filed under the name Acidobacteriota bacterium. RNAcentral's name for it is "Acidobacteria bacterium partial 16S ribosomal RNA". It matches the Rfam family "Bacterial small subunit ribosomal RNA", at positions 355 to 776 of the family's 1533-position model. Lineage: Bacteria; Pseudomonadati; Acidobacteriota. The record is from RNAcentral.
UGGGGAAUUUUGGACAAUGGGGGAAACCCUGAUCCAGCCAUCCCGCGUGUGCGAUGAAGGCCUUCGGGUUGUAAAGCACUUUUGGCAGGAAAGAAACGUCAUGGGUUAAUACCCCGUGAAACUGACGGUACCUGCAGAAUAAGCACAGGCUAACUACGUGCCAGCAGCCGCGGUAAUACGUAGGGUGCAAGCGUUAAUCGGAAUUACUGGGCGUAAAGCGUGCGCAGGCGGUUCGGAAAGAAAGAUGUGAAAUCCCAGAGCUCAACUUUGGAACUGCAUUUUUAACUACCGGGCUAGAGUGUGUCAGAGGGAGAUAGAAUUCCGCGUGUAGCAGUGAAAUGCGUAGAUAUGCGGAGGAACACCGAUGGCGAAGGCAGCCUCCUGGGAUAACACUGACGCUCAUGCACGAAAGCGUGGGGAGCAAACAGG